CGGAAAGACUAAUCGAACCAUCUAGUAGCUGGUUCCCUUCGAAUUCCUCAGGAUAGCUGAACAUCCACAGUUUUAUCGGGUAAGCGAAUGAUUAGAGGUUCGGGAGUUGUAACAACUUUCACCUAUUCUCAAAACUUUUAAAUUGGUAAGAUCAGGGAGUUUCUUAAUUGAACUCUUUGACGAAUGUGUGUUCCAAGUGGGCCAUUUUUGGUAAGCAGAACUGGCGACGAGGGUUCAACCUAAGGCAGAGUUGAGGCGACCAAUUGGCAGCUCAUCAGAUGAAAAGGUGUUAGUUCAUUUAGACAGUAGGACGGUGGCCAUGGAAGUCGGAACCCGCUAAGGAGUGUGUAACAACUCACCUACCGAAUGAACUAGCCCUGAAAAUGGAUGUCGCUAAGCAGCCAGCCGAUACUCUGCUGUUCUGCUUGAAGACAGCAGAACAGGUAGAAGGGCGUGAAGGCCGCGCAGAAGGCUUUGUGUAGACAAGGCUGGAGCGACCUUUAGUGCAGAUCUUGGUGGUAGUAGC
Molecule: ribosomal RNA, 526 nt
Filed under: uncultured eukaryote
Lineage: Eukaryota
Description: eukaryotic LSU rRNA
Rfam family: Eukaryotic large subunit ribosomal RNA
Source: RNAcentral